This 382-nucleotide ribosomal RNA is filed under the name uncultured eukaryote. Its description in RNAcentral is "partial 18S ribosomal RNA". It matches the Rfam family "Eukaryotic small subunit ribosomal RNA", at positions 592 to 976 of the family's 1831-position model. The record is from RNAcentral.
UGUAAGCGUAUACCAAAGUUGUUGCAGUUAAAACGCUCGUAGUCGGAAUUUGGCAGUUCCGGAUGUGUGCACGUCGUGUGCGCACUUCGCGGGGAUUGCUUUUGUGGUCUUGCGUAGGAUGAGGCACUUUUAUUAGUGAACGUCCUCACGCAACCACUUUUUACUGUGAGAAAAUCAGAGUGCUCAAAGCAGGCAUUUGCCGUGAAUGUAUUAGCAUGGAAUAAUAGAAUAGGACUUGGUUCUAUUUUGUUGGUUUGUUGGGACUGAGUAAUGAUCAAGAGGGACAGUUGGGGGCAUUUGUAUUUCGGUGCUAGAGGUGAAAUUCUUAGAUUACCGAAAGACAAGCUGCUGCGAAAGCGUCUGCCAAGGAUGUUUUCAUUGA